Molecule: long non-coding RNA, 1605 nt
Filed under: Equus caballus (horse)
Lineage: Eukaryota; Metazoa; Chordata; Mammalia; Perissodactyla; Equidae
Description: lncRNA (ENSECAG00000048150.1)
Source: RNAcentral
AUUUACGCCAUUCAGCCUAGAGAGCUAAUGAAGCACCCCAAUGAGGCAGGAUGUGUUUGGAUGAAUAGAAGGCACAUGAUCCAUUCACAGUUACAAAAAACAUUUUAUUUUACUUACGUGGACAUGAGAAGUAUGAUACAUUCUAAAUAAAAGAGUAUCAAAAUACAAUUUCAGUGGCCAAAUAUGAAUCUUACACAAGCAUCUUGUACUCUGGUUCUUUUGAUUAAACUGUCCUCUAUGUCUCUUCAGUUUCCAAAAAUAAGACUAAUUUUCAUUAAUCUGUGAUACGCACCAGGUAUUACUUUUCAAAAGAGAGACCAUGGUUCCUGCUCCAUUUUUUGUACCACAUACGCCACCCCAUCAUUCUACUCAGUGAAAAUGUCCUUCUCUCAAUAUCCUGGCCUACUCGGUUUCAUGAUCACCAGUACGGCAAUCCUCUCCUAUAACUGUCAACAGAGGUCCAGAGUCAUACAAACAAAUCUAGAGAAGGGCCAAUGACCUAAGAAAGCAUAAUAAUUUAGAUAAUACUUUUACAUCUAUUCCCUGCCACUUCCCGUGUUCUCAAAUUUAUACUAGAUUGUAUCUUAAAAUUACUGUCCUAGUUUUUCCAGGUUCCAUGGGUAUGAAUAAACGCCAUCUAAUGAAGGAGCUCCUUUCAUCUUACGGAUCCCUUCCCUGAGACCAUAAUGGUGAGAAAUGAAAAGCAUGUAUGAAAGUAUAACAAAACAGGUUUCAAACUUCAGGUGGUAAGCCAUCAAUAAAUGUAGCCUUUUCCAGAAACCUCAAAGAACUGAAUGAAAUCAUUUUAUAAACUGAGGGUAAUUAGACCCUUCCACAGAUGUCCUUACUACAUGGACACACAUCAUCUCACGAGUUUUAAACAAUUUCACUUUUAAUUGUCUGUGGAAUUUAACAUCUGAGGUUGGUUAAUCUUCGAAAACAAUAGACUUAGUUGCCUCUACUAUGAAUUUUCUUAUGUACAGUUCAUUGAGAGAAUUGGUGAAACAAUUCAUCACUUUCCUUACAUGGGUACUAAUUCUGUCUGAAUAUUUCUGCCUGAAUUCUUAGGUGUAUCAUGAGGUCAUUGUUUACAGACCUUGAUAGCUUUGUAUGGUUUUCAUCUUAUAUGAAUUCUUUCAUGACCACAAAGUUGUACAUUUUUUAUAAAGCUGGUCACACUCAUUACAUUUAUAAGGUUUCUCUCUAGUAAGAAUUCUGUUCCACAAGGCUUAAACUUUGGGUACACCUUACCAUGUUACAUUUGUGUGGUUUCUCUCAAAGAUGCGUAUUCUGAUAUCAAGUGAGGUGUGAGCCCUGGUUACUGGCUUUCUCACAUCCAUUACUUUUAUAUGGUUUCUCUCCAGUAUGAAUUCUCUGAUGACUUGCAAGGUUUGACUUUUGACUACAGACCUUGCCACAUAUAUUACAUUUGUAAGGUUUCUCUCCAGUAACCAUUCUCUGAUGAUUUCCAAGGUUUGAAUUUUGACUAGAGGCCUUGCUGCCUACAUCACAUUUACAUGGUUUCUCUCCUGUAUGCACUCUCCGAUGUCUAGUAAGGUUCGAGCACUGAUUGAAAGCUUUGCCACACUCAUUACAUUUGUAAGG